AGUUCGGACUGCAGGCUGCAACUCGCCUGCACGAAGUUGGAAUUGCUAGUAAUCGUGGAUCAGCGUGCCACGGUGAAUACGUUCCCGGGUCUUGUACACACCGCCCGUCACACCAUGGGAGUCGGAAAUGCCCGAAGUCAGUGACCCAACCGUAAGGAGGGAGCUGCCGAAGGUGGAGCCGGUAACUGGGGUGAAGUCGUAACAAGGUAAC
RNAcentral lists this ribosomal RNA (211 nucleotides) under uncultured bacterium. RNAcentral's name for it is "partial 16S ribosomal RNA". It matches the Rfam family "Bacterial small subunit ribosomal RNA", at positions 1290 to 1500 of the family's 1533-position model. The record is from RNAcentral.